CUACGGGAUGCUGCAGUGAGGAAUAUUGCACAAUGGGGGGAACCCUGAUGCAGCAACGCCGCGUGGAGGAUGACGCAUUUCGGUGUGUAAACUCCUUUUAUAUGUCAAGAAAAUGACGGUAGCAUAUGAAUAAGCACCGGCUAACUCCGUGCCAGCAGCCGCGGUAAUACGGAGGGUGCAAGCGUUACUCGGAAUCACUGGGCGUAAAGGACGCGUAGGCGGGUUGGAAAGUCAGGUGUGAAAUCCUACAGCUUAACUGUAGAACUGCACUUGAAACUUCUAAUCUAGAGUAUGGGAGGGGGAGAUGGAAUUAGUGGUGUAGGGGUAAAAUCCGUAGAUAUCACUAGGAAUACCUAAAGCGAAGGCGAUCUCCUGGAACAUUACUGACGCCAAGGCGUGAAAGCGCGGGGAGCAAACAGGAUUAGAUACCCUCGUAGUC
This 439-nucleotide ribosomal RNA is filed under the name uncultured bacterium. RNAcentral's name for it is "partial 16S ribosomal RNA". It matches the Rfam family "Bacterial small subunit ribosomal RNA", at positions 339 to 795 of the family's 1533-position model. The record is from RNAcentral.